AUGUCAGAGCUGGAAAAUUGGGUUAUUCAGUGGGGAAAAAACCCCUGGGGUCCAAACUCUUGCAGAAGUAUGCAGCAGGCUGAUCUAGAGUUUUCCAAAUUAAAAGAAAUGACCAAGUGUAAGCUUUUCUCCCAAAAAUCCUUAAAAUGUGCAGGAGCAUGGGCAGUGUGGUUAGUUGCCAAAAGCUUAGCAGAAGAAAAACAGGCGGCCCAGGUAGAAAUUAAGAACCUAAAGGAGGAAAACAAGAAACUGAAAGAAGAAAUAAAGGCUCAGCAGCUUAAACUAGAGGAGGGUAUAACUCGAGAAGGAGCUGUGGCCGUGGAACAAGUGCGAAGUGUUCUCCAGUAUCAAGAGGCGUGUGAACAAAAAAAGGCCAUUUUGAAUGAAAAUCAGGCAUUGAAGGAAAAAGUAGCCAUCAGUACAAAAGCUGUAGAGGAGGCACAAAGAACAAUCCAAUUACUGGUACAAAAAAUACAGACCCUGAAAGACAGGAGCACAGACCACCAGGCCUGUGAGGUCAAGAUGGAAAAGUUAAAAGCUGCAUUAGAGGCGAAGCACGGGGCUGUCGUGGCCCCUACAAAAUCCCCCCUUCAGAGGGAUGAUGAGCACUGGGAUGGAAAGGAGCGGGUUCAUCCAGAAGGCAGCCCCUCCACAGGGGAGUGUAAGCUUGCAAGCCCACAGUCAGUAGUUUUUGAGAGGCCAGAAAGAUUAAAAGCAAAUCGUGUUUCACUUCCCUGUGCUCCAAUGGCUGGGGAAAGGGAGAGGGGAGUAGCGGAGCAGGGCAGUGAGAGGAACGAGCAGCCACAGGCAGGACAAGUUAUCACGGAGGGAACAGCCAGCCCUUGCCCAGCUCCUCGCCAGCUCAAACCCAGGAGCACCCCGGGGAGGAGAGAGCAGCCGGCAGGCGGUGUCUGGCCGAGGGAGGACAGAGGGGGAUACGGGAGAGGAAGGGAAAACCCCAGGGAUGUGCGGGAGCCGGAGGUGCCGCAGACCCCCGCCUCUGCCGCUGUGAGCCCCCCGAGCCCCUCCGCGGGAAAAGGGAGGAGAGGGAGGUGGCAGGGCAGGAGGCAGUGGCAGUACGGUGCAGCCCCCCGAUUCGUGGUACAGAACACCAUGGCCAGGAGGGAGUUAAGCACGAUGCGAGUGGACAUCUGGAGGGAGCUUCGGGGCCGGGGGGAGGACAUGGCCCGCUGGGAUAACGCUCCCACCAGGGUUUUGUUGGAUCGCCUGCUGGAGAUCAGCCGGAGAAGAGAGGGAAGCGAGCCCGGGGCUCCUGCCCUCCCUGUCAUGGCCUGA
RNAcentral lists this long non-coding RNA (1296 nucleotides) under Parus major (Great Tit). Its description in RNAcentral is "lncRNA (ENSPMJG00000008969.1)". The record is from RNAcentral. Lineage: Eukaryota; Metazoa; Chordata; Aves; Passeriformes; Paridae.